GAUGGGAUUUAGGUCCAGACCCCAUUCCAGUUUUUUUUUUCUCACAGGAAUGGGACAAGAUACGCCCUCUAUCUUGCUAUAACUUAAAAACUUGAAUCAUAUUAAUAUUUAGCAUGGAUUUUUGGAAACACAAUAAAAAAGAAAUUAAUAGUUUGUUACGUGAAGAUCAGAAGUUGUAUAUUUACGGGAUAGAGAGGUGGUAAACUCGUUAGGUAAUGAUAAAUAAAGAAGCAUUGAUGUUGAAUCAGAAAAUGAUAAGGCUGUAUUUUUUUGGAUAAGAGAGGAUGGCCUAAGAAAAUGUCGUCAG
This 307-nucleotide long non-coding RNA is filed under the name Elaeis guineensis (African oil palm). RNAcentral's name for it is "long non-coding RNA (EGUI_LNC011724)". The record is from RNAcentral. Lineage: Eukaryota; Viridiplantae; Streptophyta; Magnoliopsida; Arecales; Arecaceae.